RNAcentral lists this ribosomal RNA (253 nucleotides) under uncultured bacterium. RNAcentral's name for it is "partial 16S ribosomal RNA". It matches the Rfam family "Bacterial small subunit ribosomal RNA", at positions 524 to 776 of the family's 1533-position model. The record is from RNAcentral.
UACAGAGGUCCCAAGCGUUGUUCGGAUUCAUUGGGCGUAAAGGGUGCGUAGGCGGCGCUGUAAGUUGGGUGUGAAAUUUCGGAGCUUAACUCUGAAACUGCAUUCGAUACUGCCGUGCUUGAGGACUGGAGAGGAGACUGGAAUUUACGGUGUAGCGGUGAAGUGCGUAGAUAUCGUAAGGAAGACCAGUGGCGAAGGCGGGUCUCUGGACAGUUCCUGACGCUGAGGCACGAAGGUCAGGGGAGCAAACGGG